UUUGGCACUAUUCAUUUGUAUAUUUUUCUUUUUUAUGUCUUCCAAAGGCAUUUGAGUUUUGACUUGAAGUUUUGCACGUUUGUAGAGCAUCACACUUCCAACAAAUGUGUUUUUGUAGAAUCUUAAACCGUAGAAGUCGUUCUCACUUGAUAUGUUGCCAUAUUCCAAACGAAUACUAUGGAUAACUUUUAUGCUAGCAUGAAGACAAUUUUUUUAAUAUUUUGCAGCAAUUGAGUUCUUACAAAAUGAUCUUCUUUCUCAUUACCAUAUCCACUUCUCCAUCAUGUGUUGAUGUGACACACUGGCCUACGGCUUAAUAGGAUUGAUAGAAUUCUCUCAACAAGGUAUACCUUUUUUUUCCGGAAGCCCAUCCGAAAAGAACAUCAAAGUUAAGCGUGCUUGGCUGAGAGCAAUUUGAGGAUGGGUGACCGAACGGGAAGUUUCUUCCGGGAGCGCAUGAGUGAGGACAAAAUGCGCUGGAAAGACAUGUGUUGGUCCGUGAGGCCAGUCUUGGAACCUAGAGAGCUGCGCCAUGAGUGACGCUGGGGUGUUACAGUUGAUGAUACUCCUAAUGGACGUAGAGUGCUACCGAUCGUGCAACAACAAUAGACACAGAGCAAGUUAGCUCAAUUUGAAGGUUCAUGGUGAUGUCCAGAAGAAAAAACCGCUAUAACAAUUGUGUGUGGA
Molecule: long non-coding RNA, 687 nt
Filed under: Brachypodium distachyon (stiff brome)
Lineage: Eukaryota; Viridiplantae; Streptophyta; Magnoliopsida; Poales; Poaceae
Description: long non-coding RNA (BDIS_LNC000174)
Source: RNAcentral